Molecule: long non-coding RNA, 4700 nt
Filed under: Homo sapiens (human)
Lineage: Eukaryota; Metazoa; Chordata; Mammalia; Primates; Hominidae
Description: HSALNT0111444
Source: RNAcentral
CACAAACCUGAGAGGGCAGGAAGUCCACGCUGCCACCACGGGGUCACCACAGGGAGCCUGGUGGGGACACAGAGUAAAAAGAAUAGAAAAUAACCAAAUGUCAAGACUGCAACUGGGGUGGAGCCAAGCUGCUGCGGAUGUUGCCAAGGGCCCUUCCCGGGAGAGCCAGGUGGGGUACCCACAUGCCACCUUCUCCUCAGGUGGAGCCACCGCCUGUGGCCUCCUGUGGGGCCAGCCUGGACUGCAGCUGCCAGGACCUAGUGAUGGCCCCAAACCUGAGAGUGGGCCCAGAGUCCCACCCCGCUAACCAUGCUGAAAAAGGCCACAGGGCACAUGAAGCCUUUGCUCCCUGGAUCAGGUCACGCUCUCCAGUUUUCCUUCCAGGAGGACAGGCCAUGCACUAAAAAACAGCUGCAGAGGAAAGGCUGGACCAGGUGUGCUGGGAGUCACCAGGAGCAAGGUGGUGAAGUGAAGAAACUGAGAUAGGAGAAGGGAUGGUGCCUGAGUCUGCGGCAGACCCUGAACUGGGCCACAUCUCCCAACUUGAGAUUGAAGUCGCUUUGAAAGCAGAGCACAUGAAUCCGGGCAACGUGACUUAAGAGCUGGCUGAUGUUCCAGGACAGCACAAAAGAACGGAACUUGUUUUCAUGCUAUGAGUGCGCAAACCAAUGGGCAGUUUUUGGGGUUACUCGUGAUUGCUCCUCGGUCCAGAGUUCAGGCAGCAAUCUGAGCCACUCAACUGCUCUUCUUUACCCCUCUACCUCUGCAGUUCAUUGGGGGACAGAGCUGGGCCAGGAUCCUGGGACAGAAGGAGGAGGCGGGCCCAGGAAAGUCCACUUGGGGUAACACACAAUUUGUACAUAAAAAAGAAAUGUUCACCUCUUUGUAUGUACCGUAGUAAUUAUUUCACCUUCUUUUAUGAACUUGCACAUUUUCAGAGAGAGUUAAAUUAAGCAGAGUCUGAAAGUGGAGAAUUCUCACAUAGAUAAAAGAAUGGGGACCUGAAAUUGGGUCAUCAGGAAGUGUCUUGUGGCAAAAUACACUUAGUAUCGAACUGAAGGAAGAAAUAUUUCAAACAUUUUCUUUAAGGAAAACUUAAUGGAUGUGACUUAAUAUUGUCUAGACUGACCUAGCAGCACAAGGUGGUGCGUUCAAGGACUUUUCAUCUCAAUCCACAGGAAAAGGGUUCGAUUUAGAUGAGAAAGAGGGAGCGGGGCACAGCUAGACUGGAGAGGCAUCCUGUCCACGGAUUAGUCUUCACUCUUCAUGUGGGCAGUAGAAUGGUAAACGGGACCUUCUUAAAACAGCAGCUCCCAAACACUGGGAGGUUGAUGUGCUUCCUAAACCCUCACUGAUUCAUGAUGUUCGGCACAGUGUGGGGCCUCCCGAAAACGGUGCUGAUCAUAUGGAGUUUGUGGAACAUCUCCUAUGUGUACUACCGGGACUCUACUAUCCUCCGUGAUCACAAUUUCACUGGGGGCCAGUCGCCUAGAAGAUCUCACGGGGUGUCCAAUCUUUUGGCUUCCCUGGGCCACAUUGGAAGAAGACGAAUUGUCUUGCACCACAUAUAAAAUACACUAACACUAACGAUAGCUGAUGAGCUAAAAAAGAAAAUUGCAAAAAUAUCUCAAUGCUUUAAGAAAGUUUACAAAUUUGUGUUGGGCUGCAUUCAAAGCCAUCUUAGGCCACAUGUGGCCCGUGGGCCAUGGGUUGGACAAGCUUGAAGAUAGCCAUGAGACUACUGAUGACAAGAAUAAAGGUGGUUUAUUGAAUCCGUACUGUGUACUAGACUCUUCACAUGCAGAGCCUCAUUUAAUGCUCGUAACAAUCUCUUGAGGCUGAGACAAGCAUAUCCCCCAUCUUACAGAGGAAGAAGCCCACUCAGAGAAGCUAAGGAACUAACCCAAGAUCACACAACUAGAGUAGGGAUUCAAACCCAGACAAUGUGGAACCACAGACCACAACUUACCCACCAGCUGUUGAUGAAGAAUUUCAGACCAAAAGACUAUAGAGAGAGAAAAAAACUCCUGCUCCAAAUGAGAGAAGAGAAAGAGUGUUGACGGUAAAAUAUCAGUGAGACGCUGUGAUUUGUGCCUUUUGUCUUUUUCUAUCUGGCUCCCCUAGCAACAGUUAAGUAGUAAUGAAUGUAAAUGCUCAGUAACACGCCGGCGAGACUGUUCCACCAGGCGCAGCAUCCCUGGUAAACAGAAAUGCAUGCUAAUUUCUGCUCCGUGAAGCAUAGGAAACAUCACUAGGGGCUGCCCAGUGGAAAGGAACAAAAAGCAGAUGGAAAAAAUGUUUAAAUCUCAAGUUUAUGUGAGAACAGAAAAGAAGGAACAUGUUGUAAAUUAUUUUUUGAAAUAUUAAGCUACUAACAAAAUCCUAACACCAAGACAGACAACAGGGGUGGUAAAAGGGGAAGGAGAGACGGAGUCACAAUGGAGACGGUUUUGCUACAGCACAUCAUUAACCGCCACGUUUUUCUGCAGUAUCUGAAAAUAUCAGUCUUGGAAAUACCUAUGCAUUAUUUUUUCAGAGGUGUGUGUCUAUGGCCUCGGGGCUGGAGCUGGAAAACAAGCUAUUGCCAUGAGCUCAUGCUGGAGUCUGUGUAAAUUGUUUCCUCUCCUUAUGUAUAAUGUUUCUAAUUAGGACUGUUACAGAGGAUGAGCUCUGUGGGCUGUUGAAUUGACUCUUUGUGCUCACUGCAAAUCUAGGGCUUUAUGCCUGCCCAUGCUUGGGCCGACCUGCUUCUUAGAGGCAUCGCUAAAUGGGGAAGGUGACCCUGUCCUGCUUCCUGAUGUCUGAUAUCAGGGCUGUUGGGGAAACACCCAAGAGAUCUGCUGUCACCCCUGGAGUGAAUAGAUACAUGACUCUGGUUUCUAGAUGCAUAACUCUUGUUUCUAGUUGGCCCUUUUAUCCAAUUAUACCUUUAAUAAACAAAAGUCCAUUUUGAGGUCCUUUCUCUAAGAGACAACUAUUUACCUAAAAGUUGUAGGGUGAGCAGUAGACACUAGUUCCUCCCUCUGCAUCAAGAAUUUAAGAAAUGGGCUGGGCACAGUGGCUCACACCUGUAAUCCCAGCACUUUGGGAGGCCAAGGUGGGUGGAUCUCUUGAGAUCAGGAGUUUGAGACCAGCCUGGCCAACAUAGUGAAACCCCGUCUCUACUAAAAAUACAGAAAUUAUCUGAGUGUUGUGGUACAUGCCUGUAAUCCCAGCUACCCGGGAGGCUGAGGCAGGAGAAUCAUUUGAACCCGGAAGGCGGAGGUUGCAGUGAGCCAAGAUUGUGCCACUGCACUCUAGCCUCAGUGAUGGAGCGAGACGCCAUCUCAAAAUAAAUAAAUAAAUAAAUAAAUUUUAAAAGAAUUUUGGAAAUGUUUAGGGAAAGUGGAGUAGGACUCUGCUUCCCCAAGAUGCUGAGGCUUUGCAGAGAGGAUGUGACCCAGAGGGUAUGAGUCUCCCCGGCUUGGACCCACUCCUGCUCCCGACCUCUGACAUGUUUCUAGGUCAGACACACUUAGAAAAUUAAUCCUCAGCCAUCUGAGUAGCUGAUUGUCAGCAGGCAAUUCCCUUCCACCGGUAAAACUUCAGUCAGCUACGCUGGGCGAUGCAUAGAAAUACAGUAUUGGCUUGGCUUAGAGGUCUCCAGACACUUGGUCCCAGAGGACCAAGUAAAGGUUGCUUGUUAAUCUAGUACGACAUUCCCACUGUGGGACCUGUUAGGCUCCACACUGAAGAGGUGCCAGGAAUUCAAGGAGAGUGGAGGCUGGUGCUGAAAAGCUUCCCCCAGUGAUUCUGAUAUGCUCAGAGGGGGUGAUGGUGGUGGUCUUGGGCAGGCUUCCCAUUGUGUCAGGCCCAUGGUCACUAAUUCUUGUCCAGACCUGCAGAGCCAGAAUAGCCCAGCCCACAGAGCAGAAGCCACAGUGUAAGAAGCCCGACCUGGGCCAGAAAGCCUGACGAUGUCAGAAAAAAAUCCCCAUCAGUGUGAUGCCAUGGAAACCCUAGACAGCAGGCAGAUCUUUCUUCCUACGAGCCCAUUGGCACCUCCCUGGGAACUGGGAGCUGAGUAGGGAGGUAAAUCCCAGAAGCCAACAGAACACAGGUUUCAUGGAGAGCCUGGAUGCAAACCAGCAGUAGAGGACUGCUGCUCGGCACUGCGGAGGUGCUCAUGCCUUGCACCUGGUGGUUUGCCAAUGGACAAUUUCUCCAUGACCUAGUUUUCUACCUGGUCUGAAAUGAGAAAAAAUAAGUACAGCAUAGCAAGUUUUUCAUUAAGCUAAAUUUGUUCUAUUUAAAGAACUGCCAUUUGUUCUGGAACUAUGUCCUUUCUACUUUUUUUGGUGGAAGAAAAGUACUUUUAAGAAACAGAUGUGACAAUGUGGUAGUGGAUGACAACAUUUUUUGGUGUUGCUUUUUAAUAUUUCUAUUUUUCAAAAUAAAACCUGGCAACACUGUGUUAGUCCUCUGUUUUGUUUGUUUGCAUGCUUGCUUUUGCUUCUGUGUGUGGCGGAUUAGGGAUGGACACAAACUCUUUGGAACUUUUCAUACUGAAAGGUGCACCUAAUUUGCCUUCUCUUAAAUCUGGGCUGGCCUUAGUGACUUACUUGACUAAUAAAAUGUGGUGCGCAUGACCGCAUAGGUCUUCUGAAACUAGAUCACGGGAAACCCUGCAGCUUCCUUUCCAGGCCUCUUGGAACACUUAC